UCUAGAACUCGAGAUAUAGGCUGAGCAUUGAACAGUAUCAGGGCUGCAGGACAAAUUCCGACUUCUCUAUUGUUGCUACAAUUUGAACUUGAAAACGACCCUUUUGAGUCUUGGACUUUUCAUGAAAGUUUUGGGCCUAUGUCUUAGCUUUCUAUC
Non-coding RNA from Populus trichocarpa (black cottonwood), 156 nucleotides. Lineage: Eukaryota; Viridiplantae; Streptophyta; Magnoliopsida; Malpighiales; Salicaceae. The record is from Rfam.